AGAUUGAACGCUGGCGGCAUGCCUUACACAUGCAAGUCGAACGGUAACAGGUCUUCGGAUGCUGACGAGUGGUGAACGGGUGAGUAAUACAUCGGAACGUGCCCGAGAGUGGGGGAUAACGCAGCGAAAGCUGUGCUAAUACCGCAUACGAUCUACGGAUGAAAGCAGGGGAUCGCAAGACCUUGCGCUCAUGGAGCGGCCGAUGGCAGAUUAGGUAGUUGGUGGGAUAAAAGGCUCACCAAGGCGACGAUCGGUAGC
RNAcentral lists this ribosomal RNA (258 nucleotides) under uncultured bacterium. Its description in RNAcentral is "partial small subunit ribosomal RNA". It matches the Rfam family "Bacterial small subunit ribosomal RNA", at positions 26 to 287 of the family's 1533-position model. The record is from RNAcentral.